AGAGAGAGAGAGAGAGAGAGAGAGAGAGAUCAAUGAUCAAGUUGUGUGUGCUGCUUGUUGCUUGUCUUAUAUCGCUGUCUGAAAAAAGCAGCGGGAAAGGGGGUAUGAAAAAGUGGUCGGCACUCGGCAUAGUCGUGGAACUAUUUUGACCCCAAAGCAUACAAAGAGAAUACAUAUCUCGUACGAUGCAAAAUCCUGUAAUUUUGAUUAAAAAGUUGGCAUCUUUGACAUGUAUUCAAGUGUAAUAAAAUCCGACGUUUUGUUA
Tarenaya hassleriana is the source of this 265-nucleotide long non-coding RNA. RefSeq lists it as uncharacterized. Lineage: Eukaryota; Viridiplantae; Streptophyta; Magnoliopsida; Brassicales; Cleomaceae. The transcript is spliced from 2 exons. The record is from RefSeq and is a predicted model, not a curated record.